GAUUAUUUACAUGGAGUCUGGUGUAGUCUAUCUCUGUAGGGAUCCAUCCCAUAAUGUUGUCAGACACUUAGAAUAAUAAUCUGAGUCUGUCAGCAGCAACAACAAAACUUUUAGUGGAUGCUAACUGAUGCUAAACAUUU
Long non-coding RNA from Sander lucioperca (pikeperch), 140 nucleotides. RefSeq lists it as uncharacterized. The transcript has 3 exons. Lineage: Eukaryota; Metazoa; Chordata; Actinopteri; Perciformes; Percidae. The record is from RefSeq and is a predicted model, not a curated record.